AACCAACAGGGAUUGCCUCAGUAACGGCGAGUGAAGCGGCAAAAGCUCAAAUUUUAAAGCUGGCAUCUUCGGUGUCCGCGUUGUAAUUUUGUGAGGCAUCUCCGGGCAGGGCGCCGGCCUAAGUUCCUUGGAACAGGACGUCACAGAGGGUGAGAAUCCCGUGCUUGGCUGGCUGUCCCCGUCCAUGUGAGGUGUCUUCGACGAGUCGAGUUGUUUGGGAAUGCAGCUCAAAAUGGGUGGUAAAUUUCAUCUAAAGCUAAAUAUUGGUGGGAGACCGAUAGCGCACAAGUAGAGUGAUCGAAAGAUGAAAAGCACUUUGAAAAUAGAGUUAAAAAGUACGUGAAAUUGUUGAAAGGGAAGCGCUUGAGACCAGACUUCGGUAGGGGGUGAUCAGCCGUCCUUCUGGGCGGUGCACUUGCCCCCCUCCGGGCCAGCAUCGGUUGAGGCGGCGGGAUAAAGGUCCCGGGAAUGUGGCUCCUUCACGGGAGUGUUAUAGCCCGGGUGAAUGCCGCCAGCUUCGACCGAGGACCGCGCCCGCAAGGGUUAGGAUGCUUGGCAUAAUGGUCUUCAGCGA
The sequence is a ribosomal RNA, 574 nucleotides long. It matches the Rfam family "Eukaryotic large subunit ribosomal RNA", at positions 63 to 647 of the family's 3401-position model.